This 190-nucleotide microRNA precursor is filed under the name Oryza brachyantha (malo sina). RNAcentral's name for it is "MIR812 microRNA precursor family". It matches the Rfam family "MIR812 microRNA precursor family". The record is from Rfam by way of RNAcentral. Lineage: Eukaryota; Viridiplantae; Streptophyta; Magnoliopsida; Poales; Poaceae.
CACAAAUCAACUUUUCAGUUUUUAGAUACAAUGUUUAACUCUUUGUCUUAUUCAAAAAAAAAUUUUGAUUAAUAAUUUUAUUUUUAUUAGAUGAUAAAACAUGAAUAGUACUUUAUGUGUGACUAAUUUUUUUAAAUUUCUUGAAUUUUUUUCAAAUAAGACGGAUGGUCAAACGUUCGACACAAAAACC